CCGUUUAUUAUCCAUUAUUUGCACAAAUAAAGAUGUUGCACUAGCCCAUUCAUAAUAUAACAAUAAUCCAUCCAAAUGGCCCUAUUUGAUUUAUUGACUGACUGGGCCAACUAUAUCACUAAUUCGAAUAUGGGAUCAAACUAGCACCUAAUAACAUGAUCUAAUAACAACGAAUUAACUAAGACCAACUGAUCUCGAAAUAAACAAUGUCAUUUAAACUAACACAUUGAAAUUAUAUACUCUAACUUCAAUUAUUCAAACUAAUCUGCUAAGAGCUGACCUUCUAUUAACAAACUACUAGAUGAAUACUGAUACAAAAUGAUAAACGAUUUGUUGAUUCAAAACAAACAGGUUAAGGUAGUCCCAAUUACACAAAUGAGGCCCAGUUUCCGAUAACAUGACAGUUAUACACUUUCAAACAAUGACAAAAUAGGAUAAGCUUUGGAAAUCAAAUCAAAUUCAUUUAACAUUCCAUCCUUCAAGUCAGAUCUACAAUGAUUAGUCAUAGUGUUCAUACACAGCCAAAGAAGUACCUGGAAGUGAAAAGUAACAGAAGAAAAGAGGAUGGUCAGCAGCAGUUCAAAACAGCAAAUCGUAGCAACAGGAAGCCACAGCAGCUCAGAUGCAGUUUAAAUAGUUCGAAAUGUUCAAAACCACAUUCAAAACCAGCAAAUCUAUUCCGGAAGUGAAGAUAAACACCAAAACAAACCAGGCUAGCUUGAAUAUACCAAAAUGAGUCAAAAUGACACCCAACAUGAUCAAAAACUUCAGCAAUCAGAACAUGAAACCAAGCUAUGCAAAUUCACACCACACCUUGAAACUGAACUAAAAUUGCAAUGGAACACUGAAAUUUCGUUGUUUCCUGAUUCUUUGUAUGUAGUUUUUUUUAUUUUUAUGUAUCCAAAUGUUGUAACUAAUCUAAGACUGGAAAUGAAAGGAAAAUCAGAUUUCUUGUGAAUUUUUAUGCUGAAAAAGUUCAAGCCCCCUUUGACAAGGCAAUUAAUGCCUUUAAAUAGGCCAAGAAGAAUUAAAACUUCAUCCAAAGGAUUUUAACAUCAUCCUUAUUCCCUUUUUUAAUUUAAAAUUCAUAAUUCUAACUUGCUACCCAAGUAAGUACUACCAAAAACUGAAAGCUACAGUUUCACCCCAAUUUAGAAGCAUAUAGGAUGCUCUUUUGGUUAUACAAUUCCUAAGUUACCCUUUUCUCGUUUUAAAAAUUACAAAACCUAAAGAUUCUACCCUUUUCUAUCUCCAAACUACCCUUGUUUUUACCCUAGAAUUACUACCCAACCCCAACCCCUUUUAUAGUUAAACUUCACUACAGUUAACUAAAGAGUGAACUUUCAGCUGCAACUUAUCUUAAACACUAAUUGACCCUAAUAUCAAAUAAUUGAUUAAAAAACUAAUAAACUGAAAUCAGUCCAAAUCCAAUUCUAAAUCCACCUUUGCAUGAACGGAACAAAGAAAAAGCCUGAUUAACUAACGGCCAAUUAUCAUCAAAACAUGUUAAACUGAAUUAUCACUAGAAAAUAAAAGUGAAGAAUAAUGAUAUCACGAUUAAACUAAAUGUAUAACACAAAUAAAUGAAAUUAUAGCAAGAUUAAUAAGAAACACAGUUGAAUCAAACAUUCACAAUAUCACAAAAAAUUUGAACAUAUGAGACAGCUAGAACGAAAAGGAAGAAGAAGAGAAACUAAACUAUCCUACUGAAGAAAAAGUCAUAAAAACAAAAGACGCUACCACAGAAAUCACUCGGCCCUGAAACAAAUCCCAUAAAACAGGUCAAGUUGCAUGAACCCUUAAUCCAAAAAUCUGCGAGCUCUACUGAGAUUCGAGAAAUUCUGGCAUGGAAAUCGUUAUGAGGUAGGUUACGGGACUGUAGGGUACGAAUUUAGAGCCAUUUGGGCAGAGUGGCAUUUUGGGCUCGAACUUCAGUCAAAUAUUCGAGGAAGUGCAGUUAGAUUCGAGGAAAGCUGAUGGCAUGAGUGGAAAGAGGAAGUGAAGAGAGAAAUUGGUGUUAUUUUGGUUGGAUUUGGUGACUGGCGCCGACACCGGCAGCUUAGGGAUUGGAGGACGGCGGUCUCUAAGGUUUUUGAGAGAGCGGUGUUUGGAGGAGACGAUGGAAGUGUGGGUGGGGGGGAGUUUGGACAGUUAUAUAAUAAAGAGUGGGGACUUCCUAGCCGUUAGAUCAUGAGACCUCGAC
Molecule: long non-coding RNA, 2203 nt
Filed under: Nicotiana benthamiana
Lineage: Eukaryota; Viridiplantae; Streptophyta; Magnoliopsida; Solanales; Solanaceae
Description: long non-coding RNA (NBEN_LNC010004)
Source: RNAcentral